UGUGAGUGCAACCCCGCUUUUCUCGGUUGGAGGUCGGACUAUCUUUUCUGGACUCCGUUUUCUUGCUUGAAGGGUAUAAUUUAUUAAACAUCAAAUUGGAAAAUGGCAAAUUCAACAUGGCAGGUUCUAAGUUAUGCUUCCAGCUGGAGUUUUCAUGGAUGGAUGUCGUCACAAGUGGAUAAGUCUAUGGGGCAGUUCAACAGGCGUCCGCAACAGCUGAAUUCAGUGGUGGCAACCGUUUUGAAAGUUUGGCUCAAGUUUUCGAGAUAUUUCGAAAAUAAAAUCUUAGGUCGGGACUAUUAAAAUACUGAUAAUUUCGAAUAAUUAAGUUUUUUUAAGCAGUUUUUAGUUUAGAGAAAAGCUAUUCCUGUAUAUAGCUAUAUGUUUAACACUAUUCCAACCUAGAUUGUGAUGUUUCGGUCGCUUACAAACAUUUUAUAAACAAAAACUUCACUUU
Episyrphus balteatus (marmalade hoverfly) is the source of this 457-nucleotide long non-coding RNA. RefSeq lists it as uncharacterized. The record is from RefSeq and is a predicted model, not a curated record. Lineage: Eukaryota; Metazoa; Arthropoda; Insecta; Diptera; Syrphidae. The transcript has 3 exons.